Molecule: ribosomal RNA, 523 nt
Filed under: Cytobacillus firmus
Lineage: Bacteria; Bacillati; Bacillota; Bacilli; Caryophanales; Bacillaceae
Description: bacterial SSU rRNA
Rfam family: Bacterial small subunit ribosomal RNA
Source: RNAcentral
UACCAGGUCUUGACAUCUCCUGACAACCCUAGAGAUAGGGCGUUCCCCUUCGGGGGACAGGAUGACAGGUGGUGCAUGGUUGUCGUCAGCUCGUGUCGUGAGAUGUUGGGUUAAGUCCCGCAACGAGCGCAACCCUUGAUCUUAGUUGCCAGCAUUCAGUUGGGCACUCUAAGGUGACUGCCGGUGACAAACCGGAGGAAGGUGGGGAUGACGUCAAAUCAUCAUGCCCCUUAUGACCUGGGCUACACACGUGCUACAAUGGAUGGUACAAAGGGCUGCAAGACCGCGAGGUUAAGCGAAUCCCAUAAAACCAUUCUCAGUUCGGAUUGCAGGCUGCAACUCGCCUGCAUGAAGCCGGAAUCGCUAGUAAUCGCGGAUCAGCAUGCCGCGGUGAAUACGUUCCCGGGCCUUGUACACACCGCCCGUCACACCACGAGAGUUUGUAACACCCGAAGUCGGUGGGGUAACCUUUUGGAGCCAGCCGCCUAAGGUGGGACAGAUGAUUGGGGUGAAGUCGUAACAA